UCCCAAUGAAGAAAGAAACCUUGUCUUACUGUCUGUCCUGGUGCCAGAACCUGCAAAGGUUGAACCCACUGGGGCCAGCAGAAGGAAAAGAGGAAUCUCUGCUCCAGAGGGAGUUGUCUGAUGGGAC
Sphaerodactylus townsendi is the source of this 127-nucleotide small nucleolar RNA. RefSeq annotates it as small nucleolar RNA SNORD22. The record is from RefSeq and is a predicted model, not a curated record. The transcript has a single exon. NCBI's taxonomy places the organism in Eukaryota, Metazoa, Chordata, Lepidosauria, Squamata, Sphaerodactylidae.